Molecule: ribosomal RNA, 253 nt
Filed under: uncultured bacterium
Lineage: Bacteria
Description: partial 16S ribosomal RNA
Rfam family: Bacterial small subunit ribosomal RNA
Source: RNAcentral
UACGUAGGGUGCAAGCGUUAAUCGGAAUUACUGGGCGUAAAGCGUGCGCAGGCGGUUUUGUAAGCCAGAUGUGAAAUCCCCGGGCUUAACCUGGGAAUGGCAUUUGGGACUGCAAGGCUUGAGUGCGGCAGAGGAGACUGGAAUUCCUGGUGUAGCAGUGAAAUGCGUAGAUAUCAGGAGGAACACCGAUGGCGAAGGCAGGUCUCUGGGCUGACACUGACGCUCAUGCACGAAAGCGUGGGGAGCAAACAGG